GCCCAGCUGGCUCAGUGGGUACAGCAUGCUACUCUUGAUCUUGGGGGUGUGAGUUUGAGUCUCACAUUGGGCA
RNAcentral lists this transfer RNA (73 nucleotides) under Mustela putorius furo (domestic ferret). It matches the Rfam family "tRNA". From Rfam's summary of the family: Transfer RNA (tRNA) molecules are approximately 80 nucleotides in length. Their secondary structure includes four short double-helical elements and three loops (D, anti-codon, and T loops). The record is from Rfam by way of RNAcentral. Lineage: Eukaryota; Metazoa; Chordata; Mammalia; Carnivora; Mustelidae.